GUGGUUGCUUUGGCAGCACAUAAUACUAAAACUGAAACUAUUGAAGAUUAGCAUGAUUCCUGCCCAAGGGUGACACACAGAUUUGUGAAGUAUUCCAGAUUUUU
Molecule: small nuclear RNA, 104 nt
Organism: Tursiops truncatus (common bottlenose dolphin)
Lineage: Eukaryota; Metazoa; Chordata; Mammalia; Artiodactyla; Delphinidae
Source: Ensembl